RNAcentral lists this ribosomal RNA (324 nucleotides) under Triticum aestivum (bread wheat). RNAcentral's name for it is "partial small subunit ribosomal RNA". The record is from RNAcentral. Lineage: Eukaryota; Viridiplantae; Streptophyta; Magnoliopsida; Poales; Poaceae.
AUGCUCUGCGUCUCGUGGUGUGACCCGGCGAAUCGAAGGGACAAGGUGGUGCGGAAGGUGUUCGAGAUGAACCUCGGCUCGACACCGCUGCUCCAGUGGACCGAGGCGUCCGCACACCCGGACGCACCCAUGGAUUCCAACAGUGUUCGCCGCCGGCCAGGACAGGAUCAACUUGUAGAGAUGUUCAGAAUCUUCGACAAGAUCCUCGACUUCGCGACGGCUUGCCGGGUCUCGGGCAGCGAGCAGAGCUGGAGCCACAUCGCCCGGGAGAACGCGGCCGCCAUGUCCUGCCCGCUGAAAUCCUUGGCCGUGCUGCUUCUCUAA